AAGCUCGUAGUUGAAUCUUGGGCCUGGCUGGCCGGUCCGCCUCACCGCGUGUACUGGUCCGGCCGGGUCUUUCACUCUGCGGAACCACAUGCCCUUCAGUGGGUGUGGCGGGGAAGCAGGACUUUUACUUUGAAAAAAUUAGAGUGCUCUAAGCAGGCCAAUGCUCGAAUACAUUAGCAUGGAAUAAUAAAAUAGGACGCGCGGUUCUAUUUUGUUGGUUUCUAGGACCGCCGUAAUGAUGAAUAGGGACAGUCGGGGGCAUCAGUAUUCAGUUGUCAGAGGUGAAAUUCUUGGAUUUAUUGAAGACUAACUACUGCGAAAGCAUUUGCCAAGGAUGUUUUCAUUAAUCAGGAACGAAAGUUAGGGGAUCGAAGACGAUCAGAUACCGUCGUAGUCUUAACCAUAAACUAUGCCGAUUAGGGAUCGGACGGCGUUAUUUUUUGACCCGUUCGGCA
RNAcentral lists this ribosomal RNA (455 nucleotides) under uncultured fungus. Its description in RNAcentral is "SSU rRNA". It matches the Rfam family "Eukaryotic small subunit ribosomal RNA", at positions 624 to 1085 of the family's 1831-position model. The record is from RNAcentral. Lineage: Eukaryota; Fungi.